GUCGCUUCUCGGCCUUUUCGCUAAUAUCAAGUGUAGUAUGUGUUAUCAGUUUAAUAUCUGAUACGCCCCCUGUCUGGAGGCCACAUAUUAAAUGGAUUUUUAGAGCUGGAAGAUGGAAGAAGAGAGUGCUCUGUCCACUCUAGGGCUGAAACAACUAAUCGAUUAUUAAAAUCGUUGUCAACUAUUUCCA
Molecule: small nuclear RNA, 190 nt
Filed under: Leptobrachium leishanense (Leishan spiny toad)
Lineage: Eukaryota; Metazoa; Chordata; Amphibia; Anura; Megophryidae
Description: U2 spliceosomal RNA (ENSLLEG00000000546.1)
Rfam family: U2 spliceosomal RNA
About the family: U2 is a small nuclear RNA (snRNA) component of the spliceosome (involved in pre-mRNA splicing). Complementary binding between U2 snRNA (in an area lying towards the 5' end but 3' to hairpin I) and the branchpoint sequence (BPS) of the intron results the bulging out of an unpaired adenosine, on the BPS, which initiates a nucleophilic attack at the intronic 5' splice site, thus starting the first of two transesterification reactions that mediate splicing.
Source: Rfam by way of RNAcentral